This 177-nucleotide small RNA is filed under the name Chelonoidis abingdonii (Abingdon island giant tortoise). Its description in RNAcentral is "TUC338 (ENSCABG00000000971.1)". Lineage: Eukaryota; Metazoa; Chordata; Testudines; Testudinidae. The record is from RNAcentral.
UUGACAGCCCAGGAGACUGAAAUCUUCUUCAUCCAGGUCAGGUACCGCACAGGCAGCAGCAGUGCAAGCUUCCCCCUAGCAGUGCCUCGCCAAUGUCUCUCAACCCUGACCUGGAGGGACCACCUCUAAGGUUGAAAGGACAGCUCAGUCUGCAUAGCCCAUUCAGCUGAGAUUACC